Molecule: non-coding RNA, 1171 nt
Organism: Lonchura striata (white-rumped munia)
Lineage: Eukaryota; Metazoa; Chordata; Aves; Passeriformes; Estrildidae
Source: RefSeq, a predicted model, not a curated record
CCCUGCGGGCUGCCGCUGGACGAGGGGCAGUGCCAGCGCUACACCCUGCGGUGGUACUACAACCAAAGAGUCUCCCAGUGCCGGCCCUUCGUCUACAGCGGCUGCCAGGGCAACCUCAACCGCUUCGACAGCAAGGAGGAGUGUGAGCUGCACUGUGGGCAGCAGCCGGGGGCAGAUUCCCGUGGCAGUGCCGGCAGCAAGGUGGGAGAGCAGCCAAAGGUGUAGGUGCAGGCAGAGUCUGGGCAGGCAGGGCUGCCUGCAACUGGGGCCCAGCUGCUGCCCUGGCCGGGGCUGGGCUGCCCGUGGUGGCACCAGCCCCAGCAGGAACCUGGUGCUAUUUCUAACCUGUCUUUAUGCUGCUCAUGGGUUUUUCAUUUCAUAUCAGUUUAUUGUCAUUAAGGUGAAAUUUAUGUCAAAUGGGAAACUGCCUCCCACCAAGGUUCUGAACCCCCUUUCCCACUAGGCUGUUCUCAGUUUGACUUUUAAAUUAUUUGUUGCCAACAGAAUGGUUCUUAGCCCUGUUCCCUCUCUCUGGAAGCAGAGGUAGGACUUGGCAUAGUUGGGCUCCCUCCCCUCCCAUAAUAGCCUUGUACCCUUUCCUGCCCCCCAUAGGCCCCCAGACUCCCUCUCCACUCCCUGCUGGGAGGGCUGCCCACAUCCUUGUGCCAGGCAGUGCCACCCUGCACAACAUCCCCCACCCCCACCUGCAAUGAGCUCCAUCUGAAUAAAUUCCACCUUAACCUCAACUAGGGCCCAGUUCCCCUUUUGUGGCUGUGAUGGUUUGGCAAUGACCUGUGGGGAGACUGGAGUCUCUUGCCAUGUGCUACCCUCCAGCUCACACGCCUGCCAGCAGCACUUCUGGCUUUAAUCUGGGGGAUCUCACCUGCACCCCUGGCCUGUCAGGGAAACCCUGAGGAUGGUGCUAUGUUAGAAGAGGUUCCUGCUCGCCCAGUUACUCUCAAAGGCUUUGUGAAAGUAAUGUUGCAGCCACUGCUUCCCCCCAUCCCCAGGGCUGAGUAGGGACUGACUGCCCUGCCCCAGAGCCCCAGGGCUGCUGGGUGGGCUGCUGGUGGCCCCCACACAUACUGCUGUUCUCUGUGUGUAUCUAUAUACAGCAAAUGACUAUGUGUACUAAUGCAGGGGGGAUGUGGAUUAAAGCUGUGCUCACAGG